RNAcentral lists this ribosomal RNA (515 nucleotides) under fungal endophyte sp. ECD-2008. Its description in RNAcentral is "eukaryotic LSU rRNA". The stretch from base 208 to 361 matches the Rfam family "5.8S ribosomal RNA". Lineage: Eukaryota; Fungi. The record is from RNAcentral.
AGGUCUCCGUAGGUGAACCUGCGGAGGGAUCAUUACAGAGUUCAGGCCCUCACGGGCAGAUCUCCCACCCCUGUGUAUUCAUACCUCUGUUGCUUUGGCGGGCCGCCAGGCUUCGACCUGGCCACCGGCCCUGGAGCUGGUGCGCGCCCGCCAGAGGACCCCCAAACUCUGGUCAUCAGUGUCGUCCGAGUACUAUACAAUCGUUAAAACUUUCAACAACGGAUCUCUUGGUUCUGGCAUCGAUGAAGAACGCAGCGAAAUGCGAUAAGUAAUGAGAAUUGCAGAAUUCAGUGGAUCAUCGAAUCUUUGAACGCACAUUGCGCCCCUUGGUAUUCCGGGGGGCAUGCCUGUCCGAGCGUCAUUUCAACCCUCAAGCUCUGCUUGGUCUUGGGCCUGGCCGUCGUGGCCGGCCUUAAAAUCAGUGGCGGUGCCUGUCGCAGGCUCCAAGCGUAGUACAUCUCUCGCUCUGGAAGCCCGGCGGUGCCUGCCAGACAACCCCUAAUUGUCUCCUACGG